GGCUGCCUGGCCCAAUGGUCAAGGCGCCUGCCUACGAUCCCCGGGUCCGCCUGGUUGUGAGCAGGAGAUUCCAGGUUCGAGUCCUGGGGUGGUCG
Transfer RNA from Puccinia triticina 1-1 BBBD Race 1, 95 nucleotides. It matches the Rfam family "tRNA". Rfam says of the family: Transfer RNA (tRNA) molecules are approximately 80 nucleotides in length. The record is from Rfam. Lineage: Eukaryota; Fungi; Basidiomycota; Pucciniomycetes; Pucciniales; Pucciniaceae.